CAUAUCAAAAGCGGAGGAAAAGAAACUAACAAGGAUUCCCCUAGUAACUGCGAGUGAAGCGGGAAAAGCUCAAAUUUAAAAUCUGGUGGUCUUUGGCCAUCCGAGUUGUAAUCUAGAGAAGUGUUAUCCGCGCUGGACCGUGUACAAGUCCCCUGGAAUGGGGCGUCAUAGAGGGUGAGAAUCCCGUCUUUGACACGGACUACCAGGGCUUUGUGAUGCACUCUCAAAGAGUCGAGUUGUUUGGGAAUGCAGUCAAAAUGGGUGGUAAAUUCCAUCUAAAGCUAAAUAUUGGCGAGAGACCGAUAGCGAACAAGUACCGUGAGGGAAAGAUGAAAAGAACUUUGGAAAGAGAGUUAAACAGUACGUGAAAUUGUUGAAAGGGAAACGCUUGAAGUCAGUCGCGUCUGCCAGGGAUCAACCUUACUUUUGUGAGGCGUACUUCCUGGUUGAUGGGUCAGCAUCAGUUUUGGUUGCUGGAUAAAGGUCAGAGAAAUGUGGCACCCUCGGGUGUGUUAUAUCUUUGAUCAGAUACAGUGGCUGGGACUGAGGAACUCAGCGCCGCAAGGCUGUCUUAGGAUGCUGGCAAAAUGGCUUUAAUCGACCCGUCUUGAAACACGGACAAAAGGAGUCA
This 631-nucleotide ribosomal RNA is filed under the name Pleurotus subareolatus. Its description in RNAcentral is "LSU rRNA". It matches the Rfam family "Eukaryotic large subunit ribosomal RNA", at positions 39 to 676 of the family's 3401-position model. The record is from RNAcentral. Lineage: Eukaryota; Fungi; Basidiomycota; Agaricomycetes; Agaricales; Pleurotaceae.